Molecule: long non-coding RNA, 3666 nt
Organism: Amaranthus tricolor (Joseph's coat)
Lineage: Eukaryota; Viridiplantae; Streptophyta; Magnoliopsida; Caryophyllales; Amaranthaceae
Exons: 6
Source: RefSeq, a predicted model, not a curated record
CACACUCAUGCCCAACAAUUGAGGAAGUCGAAGAAACCCUAGUUUCUUAACCGUCAUAGCUGUACACACCCAUAGCCGCACACAGAAAAACCCUAGUUUCUCCACCGUCUUUCCAUCAUCUUCUUCGCGAGAGCCUUCAUUGACAAAAGCCCGACAGGAAAUGUAGAGUUGUUCAAGGUUGUCAAUAUUGUUUAUCACAAAAUCAGUCCUCAUUGAAACUGUCAAAUGUCGAUCCUCUAUCUGCUAAGUUGUUCUGUCCAUCCUCUAUCUGCUAAGUUAUCUGUCCAUCUUCAUCAUUCGUGUCGUGUUCUCUCCAACAUCUUCAUCAUCAUUCAUCAAAAUUUACAUUAUCAAUUUGGUUCUUUUAAUAUUGUUUUUGAAUAUUGGUUAUUUAGGUACUUAUUGUGAAAUAUUUUUUCCUAGGUGCUUUACUUGUUAGAAUUGGUGGUGAAAAACUCCUUUAAAAGGACAAUGCAAGUCUGUUGUACUCAAUGGAGUGAACCUUUUAGCUUAUCUCCUCUCUUCUACUACAGCAAGUCUUACUCUGAUAUAUUGGCUACUUUCUGAAGAACAGAAAUUUAAAUGUGGUAGUGGUAGUGAUCUCCCUAACCCAAUCUGCUUCGUUGUUCCGAGCAUCAAUUGGUAUUAAAAGCUGCAAUUGGUGCAUCUUGGUCCAUAGUAUGAUUUGCCUCAAGUGGAAAGGAAGCUGAAAGCUAAUGAGGCAAAUGAAGCUAAUGGUUUUGAAUUUGACAAUAUUUCUAACACGGCGUUUGAAGAGUUACAAAUGAUUGAACAACAAUGACAAGAUGAGUUACUAAGAUCCCAACAAACUAGUGUAUCCACUCCAAGGAAUGUGAACCCGAACCCUAGACAAGUUGUCCAACGUCCUAUUCGUCCACCAAAGCGUGCAAAAACUAAUAGAGGAAGAGGUGUAAUUUCUUUAGCUGGAGGUCGAAGGCGAACUAGAACUGAGUCUCAGGAGGAUAUUGAAGGACUUGAAAAGCGUACCUCACCAGUUUGGGAUCAUUUUACCAUUGUGGCUGAGAAGGAUGAUAACAAUGUUGUUAUUUCAUUACAUGCUAUUUGUCGCCAUUGUAAGAAUACUGACUAUAGAGCCGAAGGUCACUAUGAAACCUCCAAUUGUAAUCACCUCAAAACUUGUGAACCUUACCAAGAAUGGCUUGCUAAAAAUGGUGAUCUCAUUGGUGAUUUUAAUUAGAGAAAAUAUUGUUCUCUUUUUGUAGAGGCCAUUAUGUACCAUAGAUGCCCCUUAAGCAUGGUUGAGCACAAAUUUACAAGGAAAUUGCAUCGUUACUUGAAUCCAAAGGUGAAGAACAUAUCUAGGUCCACAAUCACUCGAUGGUGCAUGAGGAAAACUCUAAGUUAAGGAAAAUAUUAUUUGAAACUUUGAAGGAUUUAGAUAGCAAGGUGUCUUUAACAUGUGACAUUUGGACAUCUUUUAUAUCUCGUGGAUACUUGAAUUUAACAGCUUAUUAUAUUGACAAGGACUGGUGUUUGAAGUCGAAAGUUAUUAAUUUUCGUCAUUUCCCUCCCCCACACACUGGUCAUGCGAUUUAUGACCUUGUUUAUGCAAUGAUCAAGGAUUGGGGUCUUGAAUCAAAGGUUAUGUGCAUGACUGUUGACAAUGCAACCAAUAAUGAUUCCAUGAUCCCUUUGUUACAAGAAUGUUUAAAUGGCCAUUCGUCUUUUCCAAGUGAUGGUGCACAUUUUCAUAUUCGUUGUGCGGCGCACAUUUUGAAUUUGAUUGUUAAAUAUGGAUUAAAAGCAAUUGAUCCUGCUGUCAAACUUGUGCGUAUAAUGUCAAGUACAUUGAUUCAUCCAAAGCAAGGAUGAAUAGGUUUAGAGAUUUUGUAUCUCAGAUAGAAAAACCUUCUUUGCUGAAAUUAUGGUUGGAUUUUGUAACGAGAUGGAACUCUACAUAUCUAAUGUUGAAGCGAGCUCUUGACUAUAGAGUUGCGGUGAAUCGCUUUGGUAGUACUAAGCCUGAUUACACCUUGAAGCUCACUAAUUGUGAGUGGGAAUCUGCUGAAAACAUGGCUUUUAUUCUUCAACCUUUCUAUGCAAUGACUAAUCUUUUCUCUGAGUUAGAUUAUCCCACUGUAAAUCUAUAUUUUGAACAAGUUUGUAAGACAAAAUACCAUCAACGACGUGCUUGUGAAAGUGAGAAUACUUGCAUUAGAGAGAUGGGAAAUGAGAUGUUUGAGAAGUUGGAGAAAUAUUGGGGCAAGUCCUCUUUAAUUUUGUCUAUUGUUGCGGUGUUUGACCCUAGGCAUAAGAUUCCAUUUCUAAAACAUCAUUUUAGAAAGGUUUAUCAAUUUGAGGAUGAGGUUUAUCAACAAAUUGUGAGGGUUUGCUCUGGACUUGUCAAUCUUUUCAAUGAUUAUAAGUCUACACUUACUUUAUCGACUAAAGCUCAUUAAGCUUCUACUUUUGAAAAUCUUGCAUCACUUGGUUCAUGCUCUUGCAUUGGUUCAUGCUCUCGUGAUUCUGAUGGCUAUGAGAGUUUUGAAAGUUCUCAAGAACUACUUUUUUCUUCUAAUAAUUUAGCGGAAGUGGAAAAAUACCUUGAAUCACCUUUGCACAUGCAUGGUAAUUUCAAAUUUGAUAUUUUGUUGUAUUGGAAAGACCAAUAAGCUACUUAUCCAAUUAUGUCUAAAAUACAUAUUGGCUAUCCCAAUAACCACAGUUGCAUCCGAAUCAAAAUUUUCUAUGGGAGGAAGAAUUUUGAAUAGAUAGAGACCAUCCCUUUUAUCAAGACAUGUUAAAGCCUUGAUUUUAACACGUAAUUGGUUGUUUGGAUUUGAAGAAGAACCUGAUGAAGUAGGAUUAGUUGUUGGCAAUGACUUAGUCCCCGAUGCAGAAUCGCAUGCUAAGGGAGAUUAGGGUCCAAGUGGAUCCUCGUCUUCAAAAUUUGCUAUGGUUUGUUCACUUGAUUGUUGCCAUGCAAAUGAUGUUGGUUCUUAUGGAUCUGAAUGUGGCUCAAAUUGAAACACGGAAUCUGGACACAAGUAAUUGAACCUUACAAGUCAUAUGGAAACUCGAUAGCCAUUGGGUUGGGUGAAUGUUAUCCAUAAGUCUUAGUCUUAUAGGCAACUUUCUAAUAGCCUUAUUUACUUGGGAUUAGGCAAUUAGAAAUGUUUCCUUUGCUAUGAUUCAUGUUGGUAGCUUGCUGAACAUGCGACGAUUGUUGACCUUGAGAGGCAUUACAAUGAUCACACUCGACAUGUGAUACAUUAACUGAUUGAAAUGUGGUACCACAAGCAAAGCAGCAGUACGUGAGAGAUUUUGGUGCUCGUUGUCGACUUUUAUGUUUCGUUUUGGAGAAAGUGUUUAAUGGUGGACAUACUCACGUACAUUUGAUGGAUGAUACUUUUAUGGUGGAUAUAUAACUAUUUAUAGUUGCUGAUUGAAUGUUAAUUUUUUGGGUUAAAAACUUGAUAUUUGUACAUUUAAAUUUGGUUGAUGUAUAAGUGAUAGAUGUAAAUUUUUGGAGUUAAAAACUUAAUAUUUUUAUAUUUAAAUUUGGUGGAUAUAUAAGUGAUGGAUGUAAAUAUAUGGGGUUUAAAGCUUGAAGAAUUGGUGGAUUACUAACAUUAAAUAUAUAAUUAGCAAUAGAAAGCAAGAUAAGUCUAGAUCGAAGUGUUG